UUCUUUGUCAUUUGCCAUCGCCAUUUCUCCUCAGUCUAGUGUCUGCCCCUCUUGGGCGAUUUCUGAUGGUGGGAUAUGUUUUCCACUGGGGCCUACGCUUACCACCUGCCUCCCAGUUUUCCCGUCGCCUUCAGAAGCUAGUUAUUUUUACAAAGGAGCACUCCUCCCUCCAACCCAAUCUUAAAUACAGUUUUGGAACAAGGAGCCUGCCUCCUCUAAGGUAACGGCCGCUCUCCUGUACCAGCUGCUGUCACUUCCUUCACAUGAGUGGACACGUGUUUCCUCUCCUGGUUCCUCUUUAUUUCCCUGCCCUUCCCCCUCUGUGGGGCUGAGGGCAGGCGGGGCUCCUCGCACCAGGUGCUGCGUAUCUGAUCAGUGCCCUAGAACCGAAUGGCAGAAAAUUCUGACCAGGUCUUCCUACAAAGUCUCCACCAGCAUCUGGAGGUUUGGGCUGCAAGACAAAGGCUGGUUCCCCAUCCAUCAGCUUUCUCGAUGUCUUCUCUUCCUGGGGUCAGACUGAAUAAGUAGUCUAACGGCCCUUCGCGUCAGGGACGGAACCCAAGAUGUGGCCUACACGAAGCCGGAGGUUUGGCCCUGCUGCAACACCGUCCCCUCAGCGAGCACCAUUGGCUGCUGUCUCGGCCUCGGUUUAAAGCUCUGUUGGCUCACCCCGACCUGAGUCCUAGUGGCAAGCUGGCAAGAAGCAGCCUGUGAGGGCAUGGGGCAGAAAAGCGUCAGUCCUGGAUUUCUGCCGUGCUCCAGCCUCCUAAUACCCAUGAGGAGAUAGCAGCUCUCAGCACCUGGCCCAGGCUCUCCAUGAAAUCCUGGCAUGGCAACCAGAUGUGGGAUGCCAGGCCGCCACACAGGGAGGCGAGAGAGCUUCAGUGAAGGAGACCGGUGCUGACAGAGGGGAAUAGAAGCACGCCAGGGAACAGCUGGAUCCCGGGACGGAGGCAGCGGGGAACAGACCUGCGUCUCCAUCAAGGUUUCAAGCCAUCCUCUGACAUCGCUCGUCAGGGAUUUUACCGCUCUCCCAGGACAUGCAGCUAUCGAGGCUCUCUUUGGAAACUUUGUUCUGCCCACAAGUACUCAUGGACAUUCACAUGCUUUCAGAGGUCGUGUAGACGCCCUUAAAGUCCCAUUUGUGACUAUUUUAAAGGUCGCUUUUUAUUUACACCGAAAAUACGUAUAAGAACUGUUUCUGUGAAAUUAGGUCACAGUCAGCGAGAACCAAGAGACUUACAUUCCUCUGUGCAGGAAACAGUUUCAUCAUCACUGCCAUCAAAGACGCUGCAUGGAAGGUCAGCUCUGGACUGUGUGUAGAGCGCUCCGAUCGAGAUCGUUAGAUCUCUGCAGAUAGGCGGCUAACGCGUCACUACAAAUGUGGGUAGAAGGAGGACACCCUAAAGUUUCACGAAUGAAGAGAUUUUCUGAGGAUCAAGCCAACGGCCGCGCUUCCCUCCCAUCCCCGGAUCUGUCCCCGCCCACCGCAAAAAGGCCAAAGGAAAAGGAAGAGCCAUCCUUUUGCUGUGCCUCUCUCGCUGAGUUCCCCUUCACAUUCUCUGAGGAAUUAUCUAUGCCUAUUUUAUCAGUGGAGAAAAGGAGGCUCAGAACGGCCCAGAAACUUGCCAGCCGUCACGUGGGUAGAAGCAAACUGAGAAGCAAACGCUUUCCAGAGUUGGGCCGCGUCUGGGAGGUACUACCUUUAAACAUGGAGUCGACUGCGACCUAACGAGACCCAAGGAGUCUGCUGGCUGGCCUGGUCCCCAAGCAGAAGCAGAUCACUGCCCAACUUCUACGUGUGGGACGACCCGUGGCAACAUAAAGGGCAAACACACAAGGAAGUCUUUCUUUCUGAGAAUGUUUCCACUGCAGUUAGGUUAGAAAAUGAUCCGGGGAAGAUAUAAACUAGCUCUUUCAUUUAGCAAAAUAAAAUGCCUCUCCACUUGGUAAUCUGGGUGGUGGAAGUCCUAGCCAGAGUCUUGGUUUUUAAAGGUUUUGUUUAAUUUGCCACCCCCACACCUCUCCUCCCACCACCUCGCAUCAGGCUAGACAAGAAGAAAGGGGACAGUGGCCUGGCAGAUGCCUCCGUGUGGUAUGUCCUUGCAGAAUAGCUUCAGCAGCACUUUAUAUCAAAUAACCAGGGGAAAAAAGGGAAGUGGAGGUGAUGGGAGGUGUCUGCAUUUCCUGGGGUUUUGUUCCAGUUUUAAUAAAUAAGGAUAAUGCAUAGAGUGUCUCCAUUUCCAGAGCUGUGUUUUUUUCCUUAAACACUGCCGCUCUUCAUGGGGAAGGAAUGAGACAUUCCUGACACAUGAUUUGGCAGGUCUCAAUCAUAAAUGAUCCAAUAUUGGCUUUCAGAAUCCCGUUCCAGAUUUGGCCCAGACUCCAAACCCUGUCCAGGCACCAGCUAGAUGAGUACCUCUGGGCCUGGGCGGGGUGCCAGCCACACUUUGAAUAACAUUUGUGGGAUCUCCCCAGGGGUUCUGGUGAGGAAGGCAGUGAUUUGUUGUCCGGAUAGCUUUUCCCUCCUUGGAAAAGAGCACACGGAAUGAAAGCGCAUGAAGGACAUCAGGUGUCCCCACAGGAGUUUCAUAAUAGCGAAGACAUGGAGGAGCCACCAUGCAGGGACCAAGUGAGGAACGUUUUGUCCCCGCCCUAAGGUACUUGCCCUCAAUCAGCUAAUCCCACUAUGGUACGGCUGGUGGCACCUGUCAAGUUAAAAAGUGAAAUCUACCAAACUUAUUUGUCUUUGGGGGUGGGGCUGUGUCUUUUCCUGAGUGGUGCCCCGUCUGGCAUUUCUCAAAACAUGAUCUAGAGACUCGUCUGCAUUAGAAUCGAGGGGAUCUAGUUCCAUGGUGGAUUUUUGGUCUCCUAAUCACCUACCAAGUAUGUGCGAACUAGAGCCAAGAAUUUGCUUCACAGCAACCUGCCAGGCAAUCCUGAUACACCCCAAAGUUGUGAGCCAUUGGCUAUAAAAAAUCCUUCACAUAUUUUUAAUCCAUCGCAGCACCUCGUGGCGGUGGAGAGUAAGACUGGCUUCGUUUUGCUGAUGGCCAUGUGAAUUUGUUUCACUGCGUGUCUACUUACUGUAGGGAAAGUUUGAACUGCUAAAGACAGGGGCUACUUUAAGCCUUUGCUCUUGCCGAUUGAUACAUGUAUCUUGUCCUUUUGCAGUUAUGGUUAUCAUCUGCCCACCAACAGUAUUUCUAAGAAGCUGCUUCUCUGUGUCUUCUGGGAAGAAUGUAUCCUUCAAUAUAUGUGAUUGCAGCCUGUUGAUAAAAGCAAAAGAAAAAUAAUAAAACCCACUUUGUUGAACUUCUCA
This is a long non-coding RNA of Lynx canadensis (Canada lynx), 3322 nucleotides long. RefSeq lists it as uncharacterized. NCBI's taxonomy places the organism in Eukaryota, Metazoa, Chordata, Mammalia, Carnivora, Felidae. The transcript is spliced from 4 exons. The record is from RefSeq and is a predicted model, not a curated record.